RNAcentral lists this ribosomal RNA (18 nucleotides) under Alpheus glaber. RNAcentral's name for it is "partial 5.8S ribosomal RNA". The record is from RNAcentral. Lineage: Eukaryota; Metazoa; Arthropoda; Malacostraca; Decapoda; Alpheidae.
CUUCUAGUGGUGGAUCAC